AUUGAACGCUGGCGGCAGGCUUAACACAUGCAAGUCGAGCGGAGAGAGGUAGCUUGCUACUGAUCUUAGCGGCGGACGGGUGAGUAAUGCUUAGGAAUCUGCCUAUUAGUGGGGGACAACAUUUCGAAAGGAAUGCUAAUACCGCAUACGUCCUACGGGAGAAAGCAGGGGAUCUUCGGACCUUGCGCUAAUAGAUGAGCCUAAGUCGGAUUAGCUAGUUGGUGGGGUAAAGGCCUACCAAGGCGACGAUCUGUAGCGGGUCUGAGAGGAUGAUCCGCCACACUGGGACUGAGACACGGCCCAGACUCCUACGGGAGGCAGCAGUGGGGAAUAUUGGACAAUGGGCGCAAGCCUGAUCCAGCCAUGCCGCGUGUGUGAAGAAGGCCUUAUGGUUGUAAAGCACUUUAAGCGAGGAGGAGGCUACUUUAGAUAAUACCUAGAGAUAGUGGACGUUACUCGCAGAAUAAGCACCGGCUAACUCUGUGCCAGCAGCCGCGGUAAUACAGAGGGUGCAAGCGUUAAUCGGAUUUACUGGGCGUAAAGCGCGCGUAGGCGGCUAAUUAAGUCAAAUGUGAAAUCCCCGAGCUUAACUUGGGAAUUGCAUUCGAUACUGGUUAGCUAGAGUGUGGGAGAGGAUGGUAGAAUUCCAGGUGUAGCGGUGAAAUGCGUAGAGAUCUGGAGGAAUACCGAUGGCGAAGGCAGCCAUCUGGCCUAACACUGACGCUGAGGUGCGAAAGCAUGGGGAGCAAACAGGAUUAGAUACCCUGGUAGUCCAUGCCGUAAACGAUGUCUACUAGCCGUUGGGGCCUUUGAGGCUUUAGUGGCGCAGCUAACGCGAUAAGUAGACCGCCUGGGGAGUACGGUCGCAAGACUAAAACUCAAAUGAAUUGACGGGGGCCCGCACAAGCGGUGGAGCAUGUGGUUUAAUUCGAUGCAACGCGAAGAACCUUACCUGGCCUUGACAUAGUAAGAACUUUCCAGAGAUGGAUUGGUGCCUUCGGGAACUUACAUACAGGUGCUGCAUGGCUGUCGUCAGCUCGUGUCGUGAGAUGUUGGGUUAAGUCCCGCAACGAGCGCAACCCUUUUCCUUAUUUGCCAGCGAGUAAUGUCGGGAACUUUAAGGAUACUGCCAGUGACAAACUGGAGGAAGGCGGGGACGACGUCAAGUCAUCAUGGCCCUUACGGCCAGGGCUACACACGUGCUACAAUGGUCGGUACAAAGGGUUGCUACCUAGCGAUAGGAUGCUAAUCUCAAAAAGCCGAUCGGAGUCCGGAUUGGAGUCUGCAACUCGACUCCAUGAAGUCGGAAUCGCUAGUAAUCGCGGAUCAGAAUGCCGCGGUGAAUACGUUCCCGGGCCU
Molecule: ribosomal RNA, 1359 nt
Filed under: uncultured bacterium
Lineage: Bacteria
Description: bacterial SSU rRNA
Rfam family: Bacterial small subunit ribosomal RNA
Source: RNAcentral